UAUUCAAAGCGGGAUUCGAUCCCGGGUCGUAGCGGUCGAAAACCAACAGUUUAGACCACUCAUCCACCAAACC
Molecule: transfer RNA, 73 nt
Filed under: Cordylochernes scorpioides
Lineage: Eukaryota; Metazoa; Arthropoda; Arachnida; Pseudoscorpiones; Chernetidae
Description: tRNA-Glu
Source: RNAcentral